Molecule: long non-coding RNA, 989 nt
Organism: Peromyscus californicus insignis
Lineage: Eukaryota; Metazoa; Chordata; Mammalia; Rodentia; Cricetidae
Exons: 3
Source: RefSeq, a predicted model, not a curated record
CUUCCCCUGUCCCCAGCUGAGCCGGGGCUUGGUUCCUCGGGUGAUGCCGAGAUCAGCCAGGAGCUCCUCUCGUCCGCCCCAGUUUACCCUCCCGGUAGGGGUGAGCAUCUCUGGGAUGGGAAAAGCAGAAUUAGAUCUCCCCGCAAAGCGUUGCCUUGAGUCAGCAGGAGUCAUUCCAAAUGUUUUCUGCAGCGAGGACGGCAAGGCAGCCCUGCGGCCCCCGGGGAGCCAGGAGGACCGCAGCCAAGGAUGCAGGGAUGCAGAUGGGAGGGAUGUCCGUGGUGCCUGCCCGAGAGUGGCCGCAGCUUUCUUUAAGAGUCAUCGAGGUCCCAAGGGUUAACUCUGGGGAGAAAACGAAAAUGACUUACAACAGGGUUUUACUCUGCAGCCCAGACAGAUAUGGACCUCAUCAUGUAGCUUGGGCUGAACUAGAAUUUACUGCUUUUGGCUCAGCCUCCUGAGUGCUGGGAAAGUAGGCAUGUGCCACUGUCCUGGCCUCCAGAACAAUAAUCUCAUACAAACUGUUACACAGCUGAUAAGGUGGCUCGGCCGGAAAAGGCCCCUGCCGGGAAGCCCAGUGACCUGAGUCGAUGUUCAUUCGGGACCCACACUGCAGAAUGAGAGAGCUGACUCCUGCAAGGUGUCCUCUGACCUCUACAUGUGUGCUGGGUCGUGCACACCCCUGCCUCCUCGACAGAUACAUGAGGAAAGGAAUAGUAAAGAGAAGCAGGGGUCUAACUGCCUAGAAGCAAUGACCAGCUUAACUAACUAGAAGAUGCUCAGACCAACUGAGCCACCUGGAAAGGACUCUCCAACUUGUUAAGCUGCCUGCAGACUGCUGUGUGCUUCCGGUUUCCUGAUGUUGUGAGCUGCAACCCAUGCCGGGCCUUGGUGACUCAGCUGUCUUUGAGUCAUUUCUGCUCCUGUAAGUGACCCCUCCCCCACAUUCCUGUAAGGAACCCAAUAAAACUCAUUGGUUUACUAAGUUA